UCCAACAACCAUAGUCUCUCAACAAUUGAUAAUAUCAGUAAGAAACACUGAAGAAACCAAACUACAGUAAAAAAUACCCUUGUCAUCGGGAGUGCAAUGCCAGUUGGGUUCAAGGGUCAGUUUAAAACGGGGUCUAAGUGUUUUUAGUACAAAAUAGUAUAGGGGCGUAUUUGUGAAGAACCCUAGAAACAAAAACAGCACCAAAUUUUGUCAAUAUGUGAGUUUAAUACGCUGGCAACCACAAGAUGUUCCUUCUAAUCUUCUCCAAUGAUUCCAUCAAUAGAAAGUUACAAAAUGUGUCCCUGAUUAUGCUAUUUUGUUUACUUUAAUUAAGUCUACCAUCCAAGAUUUCUUAUAAUAAUUCACAGAAAGAAGCUUUCAUGGUGAGUGGAUCCCAGCUAAUUCAUGGACCAUAUUGAAAGGUUGAUAUGGGGGCAAUGUAUGUGGGCUAAAGUUAUAGACAAAAUUGAUGGGUCCUACUUUUGGAAAUAAUUUUACUCACUACCUUUAGUGAUGCUUAUUACUUUAUUUAUUAUCGUUAGAUAAGUUUAAUUUUGAGAUUUGUGUUUCAAGAU
Molecule: small RNA, 575 nt
Filed under: Malus domestica (apple)
Lineage: Eukaryota; Viridiplantae; Streptophyta; Magnoliopsida; Rosales; Rosaceae
Description: sRNA MD02G0063900
Source: RNAcentral